RNAcentral lists this ribosomal RNA (252 nucleotides) under uncultured bacterium. RNAcentral's name for it is "partial 16S ribosomal RNA". It matches the Rfam family "Bacterial small subunit ribosomal RNA", at positions 524 to 776 of the family's 1533-position model. The record is from RNAcentral.
UACGUAUGGUCCGAGCGUUGUCCGGAAUCAUUGGGCGUAAAGGGUACGUAGGCGGUCUAGUAAGUUAGAAGUGAAAUCCAUUAGCUCAACUAAUGUAAGCUUUUAAAACUGCUAGUCUUGAGUAAUUGAAGGGAGAGUGGAAUUCCUAGUGUAGCGGUGAAAUGCGUAGAUAUUAGGAGGAAUACCGGUGGCGAAGGCGACUUUCUGGCAAUGAACUGACGCUGAGGUACGAAAGCGUGGGUAGCAAACAGG